Molecule: long non-coding RNA, 704 nt
Filed under: Olea europaea subsp. europaea
Lineage: Eukaryota; Viridiplantae; Streptophyta; Magnoliopsida; Lamiales; Oleaceae
Source: RNAcentral
CCAUGCUAGAUAUAAACAUAAAAGACCAUUUGAUACAAAAGCUUAGUGAAAAGCCUAGUAUGCAUUUUAUCAACACCAUAAUUCAUAAUGAAAAUGUUACAUAACAGAGAAGAAUUAUGAACUAUAUUUCUCCGUCUUCUGUUGAGAUGUAGUCCUGUGCAUUUGGUGAGAUUAACAGAGAAAUAAUUAGUAUCACAAGGAAUUGUCUUGCCUGUGUUGAGAGGUGCAUAAUUUAUGGCCACUGGUGUUAGUUGUGCAGUGGAUUUGGCCCGCUUGGUACCAGUCUUUUCUCGACACCGUAUCUCGGGUCAAUCUCAGUAUCUUGCUCGUAAGGUGGUUGUGACGGUGGUAGCGGAGGUGGAGGCGGAGGUGGUUUGUGGUUCCAUGUAUUUCGUAAUCUAACAUGUGGUGGACUUUGAGGAGAAGAGAGGGCCGCUGCCGCUGCCGCCACGAGGCAAAUUAAAAUGCCUAGAGAAAUCCUGUGACCAGCAGUCGUGGCGGCGGAAGUAGGUGGGCGCUUCAUGCUGCCGGGCUUGUAAUAGGGAGAGGACAAUGCAGAAGUGUCCUUGUAGUGUGUAAAAUGGAGAAGAGGAUGGCAAAUAGAAAGUUGUAAAUAGUAGUUAAAAUUCAAGCAAGUGUUCCAUGAACAAUGUACUUAGCUCCAUAAAUGCUGUAAUCAAUGAGGGGUUGUUUUCUGGUGCCAG